UUAGUGUCAGGCUGAGUCAAAGAAUAUCAGUGUGUAAGAGAAGAAAGUGUUUUCCAUCUUCUCCCUUUGCCAAAGUUUGUGGGAACAGAAACAUCAAAAUUAAUACCAUCUAUAUGAGAUGAAUGGUCAUGAUGUUACAACUAAAUUAGAGCCUAAUUUGAGCACUUUCUCCACCAGUUGUUGCUUCCAGAUUUGACAGCCAGUCUUCAUGAUGGGGCCCAGGCCAAACACCCGUGCAAUUGGUGGGCUAAAGAAACACGCUUUCUGUGCAAAGCUAAGAAUGUAUUGAUUAGACUUUGAAGACUAAUUAAACUAACAAAAUUAUUAUUAGUCCAGUUGCUAAUAAUUAUGUUACUAACACUUACAGUCUAGAUUAUCCAGUUAUUACAACUCAUUUCCAAUAAAGAUACAGUUAAAAUUGAUAUCCAUAAACUUUUCAGUUAGCUACCUCUUUCUCUGUUGCUAUGCUUAUCCUUCAUCUUGGUUCUAAGGUUAAUGGUGUUUUCCUGAAGAAGAAGAAAUGGGGCUUUAUGUUGCCUUUACAGAUACAGAGACCUUCAAGACUGAGAAACUGAAAGAGCUAAAAUGAAUGGAUUUUAGGCCAGCCUAAGGUUGACUUCAUCUCACUGCAAUGGUCACUGAAAUUUAAGCAUGUCCUUAAUGUGGUUUGCCUCUCUUGCCCUACUACUGCUGCUGGCUGGCCUGUGAAAGAACACAAACCAGAAAGAAUUACUGGGUCGGACUAAAACCUGCAAUUAGUCAGAAGUAGGGGCACAUACUGUGCAUACGUGAAGCCU
RNAcentral lists this long non-coding RNA (797 nucleotides) under Apteryx rowi (Okarito brown kiwi). Its description in RNAcentral is "lncRNA (ENSARWG00000000944.1)". The record is from RNAcentral. Lineage: Eukaryota; Metazoa; Chordata; Aves; Apterygiformes; Apterygidae.